This 1452-nucleotide ribosomal RNA is filed under the name uncultured Alphaproteobacteria bacterium. Its description in RNAcentral is "bacterial SSU rRNA". It matches the Rfam family "Bacterial small subunit ribosomal RNA". The record is from RNAcentral. Lineage: Bacteria; Pseudomonadati; Pseudomonadota; Alphaproteobacteria.
AGAGUUCGAUUAUGGCUCAGAACGAACGCUGGCGGCAUGCCUCAUACAUGCAAGUCGAACGAAGCCUUCGGGCUUAGUGGCGCACGGGUGAGUAACAUGUGGGAAUCUACCUAAAGGUUCGGAAUAACUGCGGGAAACUGUAGCUAAUACCGGAUGUGUCUGCAAAGAGAAAGAUUUAUCGCCUUUAGAUGAGCCCGCACUAGAUUAGCUAGUUGGUGAGGUAACUGCUCCACCAAGGCUACGAUCUAUAGCUGAUUUGAGAGGAUGAUCAGCCACACUGGGACUGAGACACGGCCCAGACUCCUACGGGAGGCAGCAGUAGGGAAUAUUGGACAAUGGGGGAAACCCUGAUCCAGCAAUGCCGCGUGAGUGAAGAAGGCCUUCGGGUUGUAAAACUCUUUCAUCAAUGAUGAUAAUGACAUUAGUUGAAGAAGAAGCUCCGGCUAACUUCGUGCCAGCAGCCGCGGUAAUACGAGGGGGCUAGCGUCGUUCGGAAUCACUGGGCGUAAAGCGUAUGUAGGCGGAUCAAAAAGUUAGAUGUGAAAUCCCUGGGCUCAACCCAGGAACUGCAUUUAAAACUAGUGAUCUAGAAAUUGGUAAAGGUUAGUAGAAUUUCCAGUGUAGAGGUGAAAUUCGUAGAUAUUGGAAAGAAUACCAGAAGCGAAGGCGACUAACUAGGCCAUUUUUGACGCUGAGAUACGAAAGCGUGGGUAGCAAACAGGAUUAGAUACCCUGGUAGUCCACGCAGUAAACGAUGAGUGCUAGUCGCUGGUGCAAUAGUAUCAGUGUCGAAGCUAACGCAUUAAGCACUCCGCCUGGGAAGUACGGUCGCAAGAUUAAAACUCAAAUAAAUUGACGGGGGCCCGCACAAGCGGUGGAGCAUGUGGUUUAAUUCGAAGCAACGCGAAGAACCUUACCAGACCUUGACAUGGUAUGUUUGAAUUACAGAAUCGUAAUUCUUCAGUUCGGCUGGCAUACACACAGGUGCUGCAUGGCUGUCGUCAGCUCGUGUCGUGAGAUGUUGGGUUAAGUCCCGCAACGAGCGCAACCCUCAUUUUUAGUUGCCAUCAGGUUAAGCUGGGCACUCUAGAAAAACUGCCGGUGAUAAGCUGGAGGAAGGCGGGGAUGACGUCAAGUCCUCAUGGCCCUUACGGUCUGGGCUACACACGUGCUACAAUGGUGGUGACAGAGGGCAGCAAUAUCGCAAGAUAAAGCUAAUCCCAAAAAACCAUCUCAGUUCGGAUUGGACUCUGCAACUCGAGUCCAUGAAGUUGGAAUCGCUAGUAAUCGUAGAUCAGCGUGCUACGGUGAAUACGUUCUCGGGCCUUGUACACACCGCCCGUCACGCCAUGGGAGUUGGUUUUACCUUAAGCCGGUGCGCUAACCGCAAGGAAGCAGCCGUCCACGGUAGGGUCAGCGACUGGGGCGAAGUCGUAACAAGGUAGCCAAGGG